Long non-coding RNA from Perognathus longimembris pacificus (Pacific pocket mouse), 151 nucleotides. RefSeq lists it as uncharacterized. The record is from RefSeq and is a predicted model, not a curated record. NCBI's taxonomy places the organism in Eukaryota, Metazoa, Chordata, Mammalia, Rodentia, Heteromyidae. The transcript is spliced from 3 exons.
CUCAUAGGAAAAAUUUGUACAGGUUUAGGGAAGUCAUAGAAGAGCAUCACAAGGCCCAAUAGCUAUACCCUUAUGAACACCUAAGAUGAUGCUAAGUGAAAUGAACUCCAUGUUAUGGAGACAAUUGUUAUAUCACAGUUGUGACUACUUU